CCUAUCCUACGGGGCGCAGCAGUGAGGGAUAUUGGUCAAUGGGGGAAACCCUGAACCAGCAACGCCGCGUGAGGGAAGACGGUUUUCGGAUUGUAAACCUCUGUCCUCUGUGAAGAAAAUGACGGUACCUGACUAAGAAGCCCCGGCUAACUACGUGCCAGCAGCCGCGGUAAUACGUAGGGGGCAAGCGUUAUCCGGAUUUACUGGGUGUAAAGGGAGCGUAGACGGAGGAGCAAGUCUGAUGUGAAAAUCCGGGGCCCAACCCCGGAACUGCAUUGGAAACUGUUUAUCUAGAGUGUCGGAGA
This 305-nucleotide ribosomal RNA is filed under the name uncultured bacterium. RNAcentral's name for it is "bacterial SSU rRNA". It matches the Rfam family "Bacterial small subunit ribosomal RNA", at positions 333 to 655 of the family's 1533-position model. The record is from RNAcentral.